GUGGGGCAGGGCAGGGCGGGGGGGGGCAAGGGGAGUGGUGCAGCAUGUGCACUGGGUGCUCUGCUGACCUCCCAGACCCCCUUCCCAGCGGCCGUACCUCCAUCUGGGGCCUGGGAUGCUGCGCAGACCCUAGGCCCCCCUCAGGCAGCUCCUGCCCCUCCCCACGGAGGAGAGGCCAUUAAGGUGCUGGUGGCCAGAGCCCGCGGGCGUUGUCUUUAGGCUGCCGCAUUUUUCAUGGGACAUGGUGCAGAAGCAGGAUGGGCGGGAGAGUCCCCCAUGGACACUGGACAUUCUUCCGCUGUCAUCUCCACAUUUGCUCCUGGUGAGAAUGUGGGCUUCAGCCCUUCCCACGUAGCUGGUAGGCCACAGAUGGGCGCCUCUCCCCAGAGCACAUGCUGCCUCCUUCCCCUGUGGCCUAGUCAGCUCCUCCGGUCCGGCAGGAGAGUGGAGAGCGCUCGGGGCAUCGCCAGGUGCGGGCUCAGCCGGGGCAGCGGGCUCAGGGCUGACACCAGCACCUUCCGCACCAGCACAGACGCCAUGCUGCUGCGGCCCACCCUGCGGAGGGCAGAGCGGCAACAGGUAAGGCCUCCCCGCUCCAUGAGGAGCUUCACCACCCGGGGCCUCCCUUAUCCCCACCCCCACCCCCGGGGAGCCUCCGCUCCACCCUCACCCCUACCCCCACCCCGACUCCGUGAGCCCCCUGCACCACCCUCACCCCUACCCCGUGAGCCCCCUGCUCCACC
RNAcentral lists this long non-coding RNA (743 nucleotides) under Canis lupus familiaris (dog). RNAcentral's name for it is "lncRNA (ENSCAFG00040024374.1)". The record is from RNAcentral. Lineage: Eukaryota; Metazoa; Chordata; Mammalia; Carnivora; Canidae.